GCCCAUCGCAGGGCGCUGUUUCAACAUAUUUGCACCUAUUCCUGAGUUUUUCCCACGAAUCAUUUAGUUAUAUUUUUUAUUUAGUUUGGACUGCCAUGUUGCGUUUGGGUCUCCAAUAAUUUUGGACACAUCCUCGAAUUUCAAUUUUGGCAGCUAUGACCAAGAUAAAGGGCAGACCUUUCUGGGGUGAGCUGUUGUGAUAUGACCGCCUGCGUUUCUGAGGUUAGUAACUGUCCGAAAAGCAGCACCGGAACGUUUCUUGGACCUAAAACCGCUCAGCUGACUCUGAUUUAACUACAUAAAACCACGCCCAGCUGGCUAAACUUCGCCACGUGCAAAUCGCACUCAUCCAGUUUAAAUGACCAUCCAGUUCAGUUAAUGUGCUCAUGAAGCCAAACCAACAUGUUCAAAUGGACAUCCAACCAGAGGAUUUGCCUUGUUCAGCAAUUUAUCCAUGUUUGAAAUAAUACUAUGCUGAUUCGUUGGAGUAAUCAACUUGUGGUUAUGCAGAUGUCUUAUGCAAAAGUUGGCAAUACAGGGGCUCCCUCUAGCGUUUGAGAAACCUGGAAGACAUUACAGAAUGGUAAUUCUCCUCGCCACAAGUUCUCUGACAUUAAGAAAUCAGAAGGUAGGCUAGAGCAGGGUUUCUCAACCUGCAGGCCGUGGGCCACCAGUGAGCUGUGAAGUAUAUAAGAGAAGAAAAUGACCCAGCCAGGAAAUGUUUGCUUCUCCAGUACAUCUCUCCUAAAAGUCAUGUAUGCCUUCUGUCUGUGUGCAUUUCUUCUGCCUGGUUGGCACUGUGCAAACCUGCUGUGCUAUUACUGUCCAUUGCAGCUGGUCAACAAGCCCUGCAAGCAUGUUUUGACUGAAUGUCUGCCAGGGCAGAAGU
Molecule: long non-coding RNA, 889 nt
Organism: Pygocentrus nattereri (red-bellied piranha)
Lineage: Eukaryota; Metazoa; Chordata; Actinopteri; Characiformes; Serrasalmidae
Exons: 4
Source: RefSeq, a predicted model, not a curated record